This is a long non-coding RNA of Sapajus apella (tufted capuchin), 1015 nucleotides long. RefSeq lists it as uncharacterized. The record is from RefSeq and is a predicted model, not a curated record. NCBI's taxonomy places the organism in Eukaryota, Metazoa, Chordata, Mammalia, Primates, Cebidae. The transcript is spliced from 3 exons.
GAUUCUCCUGCCUCAGCCUUCUGAGUAACUGGGAUUACAGGUUGUCUGUUUACUCUGUUGAUGGUGUCUUUUGCUGGAAGCAUGAGUUUUAGAUUCAGAAAUAUGUGAGUCUGAGUCCUGGUUCCACCUUUUAUCAGGGAUCAGAUCUGCAUUGUGGUCUGAGGGAUCUCCCAGGCUUCUCCCACACCUGCCCGACUUUCCCUUACAGGUGUUUUUCCUGAUAAAUUAUCUUGCAUGUCUAAUCCCAUCUUGGCUGCAUCUCAGUGGGUAAAAACUAAUAUACUAGGUUUGAUUCUUUGCAUUUAGGUUUUUAUUCUCUCUCUUUCACAUGUAGCCAAUUAUGUCCUAGUGUUUUCUGUGUUGCCUUUUUUUAAUGUGUAUUUACAUAAAAUACCUUUUACAUACAUAUAUACACACACACACACACACACACACACCCACACACCCUUUUGCAUCUGUUUCUUUAUUUCUGUUGGAACCAUUUACUUUUGGCCCUCACCAGUCAACUCAGGCUGAUGAUUAACGCUAUGUUACCUACUGUUGAGGGGCAUCUUCUACGUGCCAGGCCCUGUGCUGAAUACUUUACCUGUAUCUCAUUUGAUUUAUAUAAGAACCCUGUCAGGUAGACAUUAUUUUCAUUUUACAGAUGAGAAGACAAAGGCUUAGAGUGGUGAAAAAACUGUAGUAAUAUAGCAGCUAACAUUUGUGAAACAUUUCCUCUGUAUGUGAUAUUUUGCUGAAGGUUUCAUUGAUGAUUACAUUAAACCUUUAAAACAAUGCUAUGAAGCAAACAUUGUUACUGCAAUUUUCAGUUGAGGAAUCAGAGGCUCAGAGAAGUUAAGAAUCUUGUGCAAUAAAUUUAUAACUGCAAACUCUUACAUUAAAAAAGAAGAAAGAUCUUAAAUCAACAACCUAAUUUACAACUUCACAAUAUAGGAGAAAAAUAAACUAAACCCAAACACAGUGAAUGAAGGAAGUAAUAAGGAUUAGGGUGGAUAUAAAUAAAAUGGAGAAU